UACGAAGGGGGCUAGCGUUGCUCGGAAUCACUGGGCGUAAAGCGCACGUAGGCGGAUCUUUAAGUCAGGGGUGAAAUCCUGGAGCUCAACUCCAGAACUGCCUUUGAUACUGAGGAUCUUGAGUCCGGGAGAGGUGAGUGGAACUGCGAGUGUAGAGGUGAAAUUCGUAGAUAUUCGCAAGAACACCAGUGGCGAAGGCGGCUCACUGGCCCGGUACUGACGCUGAGGUGCGAAAGCGUGGGGAGCAAACAGG
Molecule: ribosomal RNA, 253 nt
Filed under: uncultured bacterium
Lineage: Bacteria
Description: partial 16S ribosomal RNA
Rfam family: Bacterial small subunit ribosomal RNA
Source: RNAcentral